CGGCGAGUAGCGCAGCUUGGUAGCGCAACUGGUUUGGGACCAGUGGGUCGGGUUCGAAUCUCGCCGACCA
RNAcentral lists this transfer RNA (70 nucleotides) under Salmonella enterica subsp. enterica. Its description in RNAcentral is "tRNA-Pro". It matches the Rfam family "tRNA". Rfam says of the family: Transfer RNA (tRNA) molecules are approximately 80 nucleotides in length. Their secondary structure includes four short double-helical elements and three loops (D, anti-codon, and T loops). Further hydrogen bonds mediate the characteristic L-shaped molecular structure. tRNAs have two regions of fundamental functional importance: the anti-codon, which is responsible for specific mRNA codon recognition, and the 3' end, to which the tRNAs corresponding amino acid is attached (by aminoacyl-tRNA synthetases). tRNAs cope with the degeneracy of the genetic code in two manners: having more than one tRNA (with a specific anti-codon) for a particular amino acid; and 'wobble' base-pairing, i.e. permitting non-standard base-pairing at the 3rd anti-codon position. The record is from RNAcentral. Lineage: Bacteria; Pseudomonadati; Pseudomonadota; Gammaproteobacteria; Enterobacterales; Enterobacteriaceae.